RNAcentral lists this ribosomal RNA (468 nucleotides) under uncultured bacterium. RNAcentral describes it as "partial 16S ribosomal RNA". It matches the Rfam family "Bacterial small subunit ribosomal RNA", at positions 28 to 507 of the family's 1533-position model. The record is from RNAcentral.
GACGAACGCUGGCGGCGUGCUUAACACAUGCAAGUCGAACGGAAAGGCCCUGCUUUUGUGGGGUGCUCGAGUGGCGAACGGGUGAGUAACACGUGAGUAACCUGCCCUUGACUUUGGGAUAACUUCAGGAAACUGGGGCUAAUACCGGAUAGGAGCUCCUGCUGCAUGGUGGGGGUUGGAAAGUUUCGGCGGUUGGGGAUGGACUCGCGGCUUAUCAGCUUGUUGGUGGGGUAGUGGCUUACCAAGGCUUUGACGGGUAGCCGGCCUGAGAGGGUGACCGGCCACAUUGGGACUGAGGUACGGACCAGACCCCUACGGGAGGCAGCAGUGGGGAAUAUUGCACAAUGGGCGGAAGCCUGAUGCAGCAACGCCGCGUGCGGGAUGACGGCCUUCGGGUUGUAAACCGCUUUCGCCUGUGACGAAGCGUGAGUGACGGUAAUGGGUAAAGAAGCACCGGCUAACUACGUG